This is a long non-coding RNA of Dinoponera quadriceps, 1573 nucleotides long. RefSeq lists it as uncharacterized. The record is from RefSeq and is a predicted model, not a curated record. The transcript has 2 exons. NCBI's taxonomy places the organism in Eukaryota, Metazoa, Arthropoda, Insecta, Hymenoptera, Formicidae.
UAAAAGCAUUAUAAAUAACGGAUGACUGACGAGAAAACCGUGCAAAACGUUUCCGCCUUCUCGGCACAAAGAAAACAUUUCGUGCAUCACACGCGCCAUUCAGUCUUACCGGGAACGUUCGAGACGAACUAUAUUUCGUAGCGAGUAUCGAGCAUGAAAGUUCAAGUGAUCGCGUUGUUAAUGAUUGCCAUGUUGGCAAUGACCAUCGCGGGACAGCCGAAAAACAAUAACCAACGUUCACCGAAAACUGUUUUGAAUUCAACAGUAGGUACCGAGAAUAUUAUACAGGUGCCAGAUAGAACGUGUACAGAAAAUCAUCAACUUGAUGCUAAUGGAGUUUGCCGAGAAGUAUUUAAAAUUUAAGAAGACUUGCGAUUCGACGAUACGAGCGAUGUCAUCCGCAAGCUACAAGCAAUGCGAUGAAAUAUCGUAACGGCGGCGUCAAAAAAAAGAGAGAGACUAGGCAAUCCGUUUGUUUCGUAUUAUCGAAGAAAAAAGCUAUUUCGACAUCAGCAAAUUGAAGAUAAAUUAACAGUUUUUUUUAUUAAAUGCAGUUAGCGGCAUUUAUUAUUCAUUCAAUUUGCGUUACUGUAAUUAUGUUAUAACUUGUCGCCAUAAUAUUUUUGUAAUUUUUUUACAAGCUAAAAUAAGGUAGUAAUAAACUACUAAUAAAAUAGCAUAAACAAAUUUCUGUCGACUUAACUGCGCGUAGUCUAAGAAUCAUUGUACGCACUGUAAUUUUAACGAUAAAUUAUCUGUCAAAUUUAGAAUAGGAACACUUUUAUAAAAGAAAAAACUCAUAUCUUAGAAAAAGAGAAGUUUAUUUCGUUAUAUUUGAGUCAAGAUUUUACCUAUUAUAACUAUUUUAUUAUUAUUUACAAACAUAUGGGAGUGAAUAAAAGAAAUAUUCAUAAUCGCCUCUUUAAUAUAUUCGCAAUCAUCUCUUUAAAAUAAUUUCAUACAAAUAAUGUAAAUCUCUCAAAGGAUGAAACAAUUAAAACUAAAUAAAUAUUUAAAACAGCAAAAAUGCGGAGUCUAUAUCAUUUUAUUGCUCGAAUGGAAAUAUUGUAGCAUGUGUUUGCCGACAAAUAAUGAGAACAAUCUUCUGGUGAUCAAAACAUGUAAUAUUUUUAAAAUGCUCUCGAUCAUAAUAUAGAUGUUACUCAGUGACGCGGCUUGAUAGAGUAUUUACCGCAAGCGAAUUAAGUGAAACACAUAAAAUUAGCAACUUCCUGCGAUUCGAAUCUGUGUAAUAUCUAUUAAAGUUUUUCACAUAAUUUAUAAGUUUUAUAAAUUAGCGUUAAAUUGAACUAAUUUUUCUGAACAAUGUAUAGUAAAUCAUAGAAGGGAAUGAUUCAUUUAAGUUUUCAACGUUUAUACUGCGAGUGUAUGUUCCCCAAUUUACUCCACUGACAUUUCUCAAACGUGUAACUUCUUAUCGCGGUGAAAAAGUUUAAGUUUCAAUCCGUAUUUUUGUUUUUUGCAACAAAAUUCAGCAGAUUGCGUCAUCAGGCGUAACACCUAUGUAAACGGGGAAUACACGAUAAUAAAGCGCCAAGUGUUUGCUAGGACA